This 477-nucleotide ribosomal RNA is filed under the name uncultured bacterium. RNAcentral's name for it is "partial 16S ribosomal RNA". It matches the Rfam family "Bacterial small subunit ribosomal RNA", at positions 28 to 507 of the family's 1533-position model. The record is from RNAcentral.
GAUUAACGCUGGCGGCGUGCAUAACACAUGCCAGUCGAACGAUGAAACUUUAAUGAACCCUUCGGGGAGAAUUAAAGCGGAUUAGUGGCGAACGGGUGAGUAACGCGUGAGUAACCUGCCUUACACAAGGGGAUAGCCUUUGGAAACGAAGAAUAAUACCCUAUAAAACCAUGCAAGCACAUGCAAUUAUGGUCAAAGUGAUAGCGGUGUAAGAUGGACUUGCGUCUGAUUAGCUAGUUGGUGAGAUAAAAGCCCACCAAGGCAACGAUCAGUAGCCGGUUGGAGAGAGUGUACGGCAAAAUUGGGACUGAGCCACGGCCAAGACCCCUAGGGGAGGCAGCAGGGGGGAAUUUUGAACAAUGGGGGAAACCCUGAUGAAGCGACGCCGCGUGAUUUAGAAGGCCUUAGGGUUGUAAAAAUCUUUUGGAUAGGAAGAAAAUGACAGUACUAUACGAAGAAGGCCCGGCUAAUUACGUG